GAAAUGCGAUACGUAGUGUGAAUUGCAGAAUUCCGUGAACCAUCGAAUCUUUGAACGCAAAUUGCGCCCAAGGCUUCGGCCGAGGGCAUGUCUGCCUCAGCGUCGGCUUACACCCUCGCUCUCCCUCUCCUUUGGAUUGGAUAGAGCGGAUCUGACCUUCCCGGCUCCUUCGAUUCGUCGUUGAGUCCGGGUCGGUUGAAGUGUAGAGGUUUGAGCAUGGACCCCGUUUGUAGGGCAAUGACUUGGUAGGUAGCUUCGCUACACAGCCUGUCGUUGUCCGAGGGGACUUUGCUGGCGACCUAGCAGGAAUUUAGGGUGGUUCUGCCACCCUGAAUGUCUCACAAAUUCGACCUGAGCUCAGGCAAGACUACCCGCUGAACUUAA
RNAcentral lists this unclassified non-coding RNA (384 nucleotides) under uncultured fungus. Its description in RNAcentral is "sequence contains ITS1". The stretch from base 1 to 105 matches the Rfam family "5.8S ribosomal RNA", at positions 50 to 154 of the family's 154-position model. The record is from RNAcentral. Lineage: Eukaryota; Fungi.